UCCCUGGUGGCUCAGACGGUAAAGCAUCUGCCUGCAAUGCAGGAGACCCGGGUUUGAUCCCUGGGUCGGGAA
This 72-nucleotide transfer RNA is filed under the name Ovis aries (sheep). It matches the Rfam family "tRNA". From Rfam's summary of the family: Transfer RNA (tRNA) molecules are approximately 80 nucleotides in length. Their secondary structure includes four short double-helical elements and three loops (D, anti-codon, and T loops). Further hydrogen bonds mediate the characteristic L-shaped molecular structure. tRNAs have two regions of fundamental functional importance: the anti-codon, which is responsible for specific mRNA codon recognition, and the 3' end, to which the tRNAs corresponding amino acid is attached (by aminoacyl-tRNA synthetases). tRNAs cope with the degeneracy of the genetic code in two manners: having more than one tRNA (with a specific anti-codon) for a particular amino acid; and 'wobble' base-pairing, i.e. permitting non-standard base-pairing at the 3rd anti-codon position. The record is from Rfam by way of RNAcentral. Lineage: Eukaryota; Metazoa; Chordata; Mammalia; Artiodactyla; Bovidae.